Molecule: ribosomal RNA, 429 nt
Filed under: Chloroflexota bacterium
Lineage: Bacteria; Bacillati; Chloroflexota
Description: Chloroflexi bacterium partial 16S ribosomal RNA
Rfam family: Bacterial small subunit ribosomal RNA
Source: RNAcentral
UAGGGAAUCUUCGGCAAUGGACGAAAGUCUGACCGAGCAACGCCGCGUGAGUGAAGAAGGUUUUCGGAUCGUAAAACUCUGUUGUUAGAGAAGAACAAGGACGUUAGUAACUGAACGUCCCCUGACGGUAUCUAACCAGAAAGCCACGGCUAACUACGUGCCAGCAGCCGCGGUAAUACGUAGGUGGCAAGCGUUGUCCGGAUUUAUUGGGCGUAAAGCGAGCGCAGGCGGUUUCUUAAGUCUGAUGUGAAAGCCCCCGGCUCAACCGGGGAGGGUCAUUGGAAACUGGGAGAAUUGAGUGCAGAAGAGGAGAGUGGAAUUCCAUGUGUAGCGGUGAAAUGCGUAGAUAUAUGGAGGAAAACCAGUGGCGAAGGCGGCUCGCUGGUCUGUAACUGACGCUGAGGCUCGAAAGCGUGGGGAGCAAACAGG